GCGCCCUUAGCUCAGCUGGAUAGAGCAACGCCCUUCUAAGGCGUGGGUCGUAGGUUCGACUCCUACAGGGCGUGCCA
Molecule: transfer RNA, 77 nt
Filed under: Thalassotalea sp. PP2-459
Lineage: Bacteria; Pseudomonadati; Pseudomonadota; Gammaproteobacteria; Alteromonadales; Colwelliaceae
Also listed under: 4 other names
Description: tRNA-Arg
Rfam family: tRNA
About the family: Transfer RNA (tRNA) molecules are approximately 80 nucleotides in length. Their secondary structure includes four short double-helical elements and three loops (D, anti-codon, and T loops).
Source: RNAcentral